Molecule: ribosomal RNA, 513 nt
Filed under: uncultured bacterium
Lineage: Bacteria
Description: partial 16S ribosomal RNA
Rfam family: Bacterial small subunit ribosomal RNA
Source: RNAcentral
GACGAACGCUGGCGGCAUGCCUAAUACAUGCAAGUCGAGCGAACAGAUGAAGUGCUUGCACUUCUGACGUUAGCGGCGAACGGGUGAGUAACACGUAAGGAAUCUACCUAUAAGCGGGGGAUAACAUUCGGAAACGGGUGCUAAUACCGCAUAAUAUCCUCUUCCGCAUGGAAGAAGAUUGAAAGACGGCUCUGCUGUCACUUAUAGAUGACCUUGCGGUGCAUUAGUUAGUUGGUGGGGUAACGGCCUACCAAGAAGAUGAUGCAUAGCCGACCUGAGAGGGUGAUCGGCCACAUUGGGACUGAGACACGGCCCAAACUCCUACGGGAGGCAGCAGUAGGGAAUCUUCCGCAAUGGGCGAAAGCCUGACGGAGCAAUGCCGCGUGAGUGAAGAAGGCCUUCGGGUCGUAAAACUCUGUUAUAAGAGAAGAACAAAUUGUAGAGUAACUGCUACAGUCUUGACGGUAUCUUAUCAGAAAGCCACGGCUAACUACGUGCCAGCAGCCGCCGUAA